GUUAAACAGGUAGCAUCACCUCGAGCUCCCGGCGACGAGUGUCUUCGUUGAGACAAAGACUUACCUGCUUUGCUUCUCUGUUAGUUUCAACACCCAGCGUCAUGUUGGGAAUCUGGUUUCCCGCCUCGAGAUGGUCUCCUUCCUGGCUUUCGGGGUUGCAAAAAUCUUAAAGGGCGUCGUUCGGCCGAAGAGAGAAGAGAAGGACAUGCUGGUGAAGCGGCGUAACUGGCGCAGUGUGGGGUCUCUCGUUUUUAGUGGAUCGUGUCCCGAGGACGCAAGGGACCUCGUUGUGUUGCUGUGGAAAGCACACUGCCAGUGAGGCCCCUGUCGUACUGAGGUGCAAGGACACCAGGACAAUGAUAUGUAAAAGAGCUUUUACCUUCAUGCACCUAUGUACUCAAACGCAAACUAUACCGUGAAUGAACAUAUGAAUGAUUCCUUGAAGUUCAAAUGUAAAAUGACACAAUGGCUCAAUAAAGUUCAGAUACAAAACCAAUACAA
Long non-coding RNA from Rhinichthys klamathensis goyatoka, 501 nucleotides. RefSeq lists it as uncharacterized. The record is from RefSeq and is a predicted model, not a curated record. The transcript has 2 exons. NCBI's taxonomy places the organism in Eukaryota, Metazoa, Chordata, Actinopteri, Cypriniformes, Leuciscidae.